UACGUAGGGUGCGAGCGUUGUCCGGAAUUAUUGGGCGUAAAGAGCUCGUAGGCGGUGUGUCACGUCGGCCGUGAAAACCUGCAGCUUAACUGUGGGCGUGCGGUCGAUACGGGCAUCACUGGAGUUCGGCAGGGGAGACUGGAAUUCCUGGUGUAGCGGUGAAAUGCGUAGAUAUCAAGAGGAACACCUGCGGCGAAGGCGGGUUGCUGGGCUGACACUGACGCUGAGGCGCGAAAGCUAGGGGAGCGAACGGG
Molecule: ribosomal RNA, 254 nt
Filed under: uncultured bacterium
Lineage: Bacteria
Description: partial 16S ribosomal RNA
Rfam family: Bacterial small subunit ribosomal RNA
Source: RNAcentral